RNAcentral lists this ribosomal RNA (436 nucleotides) under uncultured Oscillospiraceae bacterium. RNAcentral's name for it is "bacterial SSU rRNA". It matches the Rfam family "Bacterial small subunit ribosomal RNA", at positions 341 to 792 of the family's 1533-position model. The record is from RNAcentral. Lineage: Bacteria; Bacillati; Bacillota; Clostridia; Eubacteriales; Oscillospiraceae.
ACGGAAGGCAGCAGUGGGGAAUAUUGGGCAAUGGGCGCAAGCCUGACCCAGCAACGCCGCGUGAAGGAAGAAGGCUUUCGGGUUGUAAACUUCUUUUGCAAGGGACGAGACGAAGACGGUACCUUGUGAAUAAGCCACGGCUAACUACGUGCCAGCAGCCGCGGUAAUACGUAGGUGGCAAGCGUUGUCCGGAUUUACUGGGUGUAAAGGGCGUGUAGCCGGGUCGGUAAGUCAGAUGUGAAAGCACGAGGCUCAACUUCGUGUCUGCAUUUGAAACUGUAGUUCUUGAGUGUUGGAGAGGCUAACGGAACUCCUAGUGUAGCGGUGAAAUGCGUAGAUAUUAGGAAGAACACCAGUGGCGAAGGCGGUUAGCUGGACAAUAACUGACGCUGAGGCGCGAAAGCGUGGGUAGCAAACAGGAUUAGAUACCCUGGUA